UUUUCCCUUUGCAUGAGCGCUGGGAGUGUUUGGGGGUGGUGGUAGAGCCCCAGGUGCUGCUUGCCUGUUAAGCUGACCACCUGGCUGGCUGAGCGCUUCUUACAGGGAAAGGGGGUAUGGAGCUGUAUGGGGAACUUAUGCACUCGGAAAGCUUUUCCAGCCUUGGAAGUGAGACAUCGCAGACAGUAGCAGUGGAUUCUUCUGGAAGUCCUCCAGGCGUGGGUGCAGGGUCCCAGCUGGCAGAGGUGUUGCAGUGUCAGCGAGAGUGCUGCAUCUUGAUUACAUCAACGAAGAGAGGAUCUCGGCCCUGCCAGCUGAGCACCAUCCCAAAGGAGGAGGAAGGAGAGAAGGCUCCGAGGACUCCGGCAUUCUCUGCAGGGAGAUUAUUAGUGCAAGACGUGACAUUAAGACAAUACAUUGACUCAUCCAAAGAAACAGAGGCUUGCAGGAGCAGCGAGAGGAAACCAAAUAAAUAUGUUUGCAGAAAGUUGUCUGUUCAUCUGUCCAUCUGAGAGCAUAAAGAGACAACUCUCAAUGUUAGUUAGGAGUCACAAAGACUUUGUUCUUUGGACUGUUUCAGGGAAAAGCCAUUAUUUCCCAGAUUUACUCCGCCAGAUCCUCCUCCACGGCUCUGUGUACAGCCUGCCUCGGCCCUAGCAGCCAAGGAAAGCACACCCAGGACCUGUGCUGAACCUUUCAUGCCCUGGGCAUGACCACAACUGGGGGUUUUCUUGGUACAAAAGCGUGAGGUAGACCUCUCCCAUCUGAAAACCCAGCUUACAGCCUCUCAUCACACCGUCAUGGCUGAGGCCCACCCAAGAGCCCACCGUGAGAGCCACCAGGCUCGUUUGUUCGAGAAGAUGCUGCAGGCUGCCGACCGGUCUGAUUUCGUGCAAAAAGGCACGGGUUUGCUUAAUCGGCCAUACCUUGUGGGGGUGAGUGGCGUGUCUGGGACUUAGCAUUUCAUCCAGCUGCCAAGACCAAUUAUUUUUGAUGUUGCUUGACACAUUGAAGCUGGUUCUCCUGAUUUAUUUUGUUUACUUGCUGGAGUGCUGUGUUGUGUUGUGUUUUUUUUCCUAAAAGGAUGUCUUCCUUUUUCUGACUCUCAUGCCAAAGAUGGCCAAGAAGUAAAGCAGAUAUGAAAAUGGAACGAAAAAAAGUCUUUUCAAGAACACCACAAGCUUUGUCAGCCUCCCAGGACUAAACAGACAAAGACAUGAUAACUUGGGCUAGUAGCAAAUGUGUCAUUCAUGGAGCACAGCAGGAUCUGCUUCAGGGGUGGAACACCUUUCACAACAAAGCUGGAAGGCUUUGCGACUGUACCUUGCUUUCCUGGAAUCUGUGGACAUCUAAAUUCAUUGAAAAUUAGGGAAAUGGCAAAAAUUCCAAUGGUUUGGCAAGCUUUGAAUGGUUUGAUAUUUCAGUUGAUACUCUCAUUCUAGCAGAGACUUGGGGCUUGGCAGGGGGAGAAUUCAGCUCUUAUUUCUCCAAGAAGGACAUUUGGUUUGGUCGCCCUGGGAGCCCUUCCAGUUCAACAUUUAAAGUGGGUUUUGAAGACAAGAGCCUAUAUCCAGAAAAAUGCGGAAAACUCCAAAUCAUUUUUGGACCUGAAAUGAGCAGUCACAGUAGCUACAAGAUACCAUCUGCAUCUAUUUUAGAAGUGAUUUUACUGUUCUUUCUAUUAUAAGAGCUGCUUGAAGGUAUCUCACAUUUUUGUAAAUUUCAUCAAGGACCUGAAAUUCCAAAUUUUUGUAAUAAAAA
Long non-coding RNA from Anser brachyrhynchus (Pink-footed goose), 1761 nucleotides. The record is from Ensembl. Lineage: Eukaryota; Metazoa; Chordata; Aves; Anseriformes; Anatidae.